GGGUGGUAAAUUGCAGUCAUCGCCGAGCCAGAGAACACUCUUGUAGUUCAGUGUGUUGCAGCCGUGUUCAGGUCGCAUUGACGGUACUAUUCUCUUUUGGAUGAUACAAUUAACAGUCACCGUCGCAUUGAGUCGCUUUUGGGAGCUCUGACGACCACACGCUUUUGGCGAAAAGGAAGGCAAAGAGAGCUCGUUAUGUUCAACCCCCACUCCCACCAACAACAACAACAGCAGCAGCAGUUCCACCAGCACCUGCGGCAGCUCCAACAACUUUUCCAUCAGCAGCCACCCCCGCCGCCUCCACCGCCCCCGCCGCCUCCACCGCCACAGCCCACUCCGGCUCACCAUGUCGGCCAUCACCAUCACCAGGCAUCGCGAGCCAUUCCUGUGCCUCCACAUACAACGCCUCCUCCACCCAGAAUGGUCAACCUGUGCCAGGCGACCCAGACCACGAUUAUCAGCCCCAAUCCCAUGCUACAUGGAGCCUUAAUGAUGCAGCAAAUGCAAGGUAACAUGCGGGGCUUUGGGAUGGCCGGACAGCAGUUCCGUCAUUUCUUCACAGCGGCGAACAGGUCUCUACUGGGGCCGGUUCCAAUUGGUAUGGCAAUGAAGUCCCACCACAUGGGCUUCCCCGCUGCAGCUCGGGCCUUCCACCCUCACCCUCGCUUAUACAAUAAUGCCACCAUUACCGCAAGUGCAGCCACUGCGACGAGCGCGGCCACCGCCGCCUCCUCUGUUACCACCACCACAACAGUAAUAACACUGGACAAGAAGAAUGACAGCCAGCAGACAGCAGACGGGUGUACCGCUGACAUUGCAGCAGUAAGCAAGGCCAGGGAUACUGAAACAGAUGGCGUUGUGGAAUGGGUGGAUGGAUCUGCUCAGUCCUCUGAGGAACAGGUUGAAGAACCGACGGUGAAGAGGCAGAAGAUGGAAGGAUCUGAGGAGCCUAAAGAGGAUCCUGCUCUCCCUACUGCCGAUUCAGAUGGCGACACAGAGUGCAACACAGAAGACAGCCAGAUGGGUGACUGCCUCCUCCUACAAGAAGACGACUCUACUCUGGGUCCAGGAGUUGAGGAGAGCCAUGCUGCUGUGUUGGAGGAUGAUGAGCUACCAAACAAACGGGUGGAGGGCAAUGCUGCAGAAGGGGCCAACAAGUUCUACUGCUACCUCUGCACCAUCACUUGCCACAGUCAGGAAAACUUCCGCAGUCAUAUGAACAGUGUUUCCCACCAGCAGAGGAUGAUGGAGAUUCAGCACAUGAGCAACGCGUGCCUGGUCACAUUGCUGCCACGGCUGCAUGAGACUCUGCAGGGGGCCAGUAAAGAUGGAGACAAAAAAGCUGACACGCAGCGUUGGUGCGCAACAUGUUGCGCUCAUUACUCCACCAGCAUUGCGGACCAUCGACACACAGAGGAGCACAAACGUGCGUGCAGAGCUGCUGUGUCGUCCUGCGGCCUCUGCAAGAAGCACUUCAGGAGCUCCAAGCUGUUUGUGGCACACUUGCAGUCCCAGGAGCACCGGCAAAGAUUAAUUAAACUUCAGGAAAAGGAGAGCUCUGACACUUUAUCCAAGCUGCCGGACAUAGAUGGCUUUGAGAUUGAGGAAGAGAAGGUGCAGGAGGAUGACAGGCUCGACUCGGAUGAAGACUUUCUUGAGAACCUGGAUGGAUGGAGCUCAUGUAGAGAGGUGACUCUGAAGGACAUGACGAGUGACGAGCAGUAUGACCCCGACACCAUCUACGGGUCCAGCUUCUUUGUGCCAGUGGCUGGUUUCAUCUGCCGACUCUGCAACAAGUUCUACCAUUUUGACUCGUCGGCUUUACACACACACUGCAACUCCGUCAAGCACUUUGACAACCUCAAGAGACACAAAGAAUCACUUGGCGGAAAGUGCGCCAACGCUGACGACGACAACCGCAGGUCUUUAACAGGAACGCCCACAGAUUCUCUGGAAGACAUUUGCCCCUCCAGUACCGCAGGGUCAGUUUCAAGACUCAGCAGUACGUUCGGGACAGAAAACCAGCUCCAGGACAAAGUGGAGGAGCCUCGCACUUGUCAAGCGUCGAAAGCUCCAUCAGAGCUUCCCGCUGACACCUCAGAUUUGCCAGCCUCCACUGACGACAACAACAAAGAAAAAGAAGAAGACGAAAAUGCUCCACUGAAGCCAAGCACCAGACGCCGGUCUGGGAGGGCCACUAACAGACAUUGAAGGAUGGAUGAGAGACUUUUUUUUUUUCUUUAAUUCUCCAAUAGGUUCCAAUUUCGAUGGCGGAACACAUGACCUGAAAGAGUGCCUCGCCUGGUGGCUGCAAGGUUGCCGAGUGUCACCCAGGGAAGUGGAAAAUUUUCCUCCAGGGGGAAGCGUGGCCUUCAACAGUGCAUCCUGACGCAGACACAAUUUGGUAACAUCCUUAAAAUGAAUGCAACUUUGAGAAGAAAAAAAAAGUGUCACCAAAAUGCAUUUAUUCCACUUUGGAGGUUCCAGUAUAUUUUAAAGCGGAAAUACUUCGUCUCAGAGAAGUCAAAGAGAGAUUGAGAGCAUUCUUUGAAGUGUGGGUGACAACACAAAUGUAAGACUGUGAAGCCAGCCUCUCACGAAAAAAGCAAAAGCUGUAUUUGCCAUAAAACAGACAAGACAUCUUUGUCAUUUGAAACUUGUCCGUCAAGGCAGGUGUUUUCAGUCAUGUUGGACCAUCGGUGUUUGUUCAUGGCAUUUUGGUGUCGCGUUCUUGUGGACAUUUUGAGUGAUGUUGGUAAUUGGUGGACCAAAAAAAAAAAAGGCUUCACACGGAUUCUUCAAGCAAACACAUUGUGUUUAUUCUGGCUUCAUUUUUUUGUAGCACUCUGCUCUGAAGUUUUUAACGCAUCACUUCCUCUUCCAGAAACAUUUCAUCCUCAUUUGUGGUUAUUUGGAGCCACUAAGUCUUGCUCACGUGACGCAAAACUUGACAUGACC
This is an RNA transcript of Hippocampus comes (tiger tail seahorse), 2958 nucleotides long. It is a transcript of the gene named cdkn1a interacting zinc finger protein 1a, with no coding region annotated. The transcript is spliced from 16 exons. NCBI's taxonomy places the organism in Eukaryota, Metazoa, Chordata, Actinopteri, Syngnathiformes, Syngnathidae. The record is from RefSeq and is a predicted model, not a curated record.